Molecule: ribosomal RNA, 783 nt
Filed under: uncultured Comamonadaceae bacterium
Lineage: Bacteria; Pseudomonadati; Pseudomonadota; Betaproteobacteria; Burkholderiales; Comamonadaceae
Description: bacterial SSU rRNA
Rfam family: Bacterial small subunit ribosomal RNA
Source: RNAcentral
CGGCCGGAUGCUUUACCUGCAAGUCGAACGGCAGCACGGGGGCAACCCUGGUGGCGAGUGGCGAACGGGUGAGUAAUACAUCGGAACGUGCCCAGUCGUGGGGGAUAACUACGCGAAAGCGUAGCUAAUACCGCAUACGAUCUACGGAUGAAAGCGGGGGAUCGCAAGACCUCGCGCGAUUGGAGCGGCCGAUGGCAGAUUAGGUAGUUGGUGGGGUAAAGGCUCACCAAGCCUGCGAUCUGUAGCUGGUCUGAGAGGACGACCAGCCACACUGGGACUGAGACACGGCCCAGACUCCUACGGGAGGCAGCAGUGGGGAAUUUUGGACAAUGGGCGCAAGCCUGAUCCAGCCAUUCCGCGUGCAGGAUGGAGGCCUUCGGGUUGUAAACUGCUUUCGUACGGAACGGAAAGCCUUCUUCUAAUACAAGAGGGUCAUGACGGUACCGUAAGAAUAAGCACCGGCUAACCACGUGCCAGCAGCCGCGGUAAUACGUAGGGUGCAAGCGUUAAUCGGAAUUACUGGGCGUAAAGCGUGCGCAGGCGGUGAUGUAAGACAGAUGUGAAAUCCCCGGGCUCAACCUGGGAACUGCAUUUGUGACUGCAUCGCUGGAGUGCGGCAGAGGGGGAUGGAAUUCCGCGUGUAGCAGUGAAAUGCGUAGAUAUGCGGAGGAACACCGAUGGCGAAGGCAAUCCCCUGGGCCUGCACUGACGCUCAUGCACGAAAGCGUGGGGAGCAAACAGGAUUAGAUACCCCUGGUAGUCCACGCCCUAAACGAUGUCAAC